Molecule: long non-coding RNA, 497 nt
Organism: Triplophysa rosa
Lineage: Eukaryota; Metazoa; Chordata; Actinopteri; Cypriniformes; Nemacheilidae
Exons: 3
Source: RefSeq, a predicted model, not a curated record
GCCAUGGCUAAAGUUUGUGGACAACAUGCAAUGUAGUCGCUGCACAGAGUCCAAACCUCGGAAGAGACAGGAGUGGAUUUAUUUUAUUUUUAGUGGAAAUCCCUCAGAAGCCAGAAGUAAAAACCUGCUUGUCUGCGCGAAUCACUUCAAACCGGAGUGCGUUUUCAACCUGGGACAGUACAAGCAGGAUUAGCUUCAAAGUUGUUCCUCAAGAGGUAUCGAGACCGACUGAACGAGACGAAGCUGCCGAUUCACAACCUGAAGAACUUCACCACCACCUCAGACUCCAUCCCAUAAUGCCCCGGUGUGUUUCCAGCAUCAGAUCGCUGAACUACAGAAACAGGUGAAAGCAUUCAUCAUCACUGCGCUUCGUCAAUCUUCAGUUGGGAGUCAGGAGAAUCUGGAUGGGGUUCAAGAUGUACGUCAGCCUCAAUCAUGGCCUUUCAUGGAAGUUUCCUGCACAUAAUCCAGAUGAGUUCACUCUUUGAUAGUGUGCA